UACGUAGGGGGCUAGCGUUGUCCGGAAUCAUUGGGCGUAAAGCGCGUGUAGGCGGCCCGGUAAGUCCGCUGUGAAAGUCGGGGGCUCAACCCUCGGAUGCCGGUGGAUACUGUCGGGCUCGAGUCCGGAAGAGGAGAGUGGAAUUCCCGGUGUAGCGGUGAAAUGCGCAGAUAUCGGGAGGAACACCAAUGGCGAAGGCAGCUCGCUGGGACGUGACUGACGCUGAGACGCGAAAGCGUGGGGAGCAAACAGG
This 253-nucleotide ribosomal RNA is filed under the name uncultured bacterium. Its description in RNAcentral is "partial 16S ribosomal RNA". It matches the Rfam family "Bacterial small subunit ribosomal RNA", at positions 524 to 776 of the family's 1533-position model. The record is from RNAcentral.